CUGAAGCAACUUAGCAUGCUUAUCCCAGGAUAUUGAAUAUACAGGAGGACCCUGUUGUUUAACCACUCUAUAUGUAAUAAUUUGCAUCUACCAAUCCCAGCCUCCCUCCUCAUCCCUCCCCUACCUGCCCCACCUUGGCAACCACAAGUCUGCUCCCUACGUCUAUGAGUCUGUUUUGAAGAUAAGCUCAUUUGUGUCAUAUUUCAGAUUCCACAUAUAAGUGAUAUCAUGUGGUGUUUGUCUUUCUGACUUACUUCCCUUAGUGUGAUCAUCUCUAGUUGCUUUUCUUUUCCCUUAGUUUUUCAGGGAACCAAGCCCUCUGGUGGAUGCCUUUCUGGGGAAACGAAGAAAGAGAGAGGCUGACGGAGGCAGAGCCACUGAAAGGUCUACCGGCGCUGUGCAGGCCCUGCCCACUUCCUUUCUCUUGCAGUGCAGCCCUUCCAACCUGAGGUCGUAGAGGAACUGAGGCUGCAGAGGGCGGGGUGGGAAUCCCACGGGUCCAGGGUCACCACACCCACAUCCAGAAGUGAAUUCUUCUGCUUAUUUCUGUCCACGGGACCGAACAGCCACCGACAUCCACCGGACCAGCAUCACCCAGGGGAGCUGGCCUUCGUCCUGGACUCUCCUGGCCUCAGAGGAAUCCAGAUCACAGUUGGCGGGGUUAGAUUGCUCAGGCCAACUGAUCCCUUCAGAGAUACACAAACUAGGGCUUGUGGAAUCUCAGGGCGAAUACAGAACACGCUGGCAGCCAGAUCACCUGACCUCCCCCCGCCCCAGGGUGGGGGUUGUCUGACCACCCCAUCACCUGACCUCAGGUCACCACCCUCCCCUGCAGUGUGGUUCUCUACUGCAUAACAUAAUAUAAUCACGGAGUAACUCCCGAGGACAGGGGCAGAGAUCACGCGGCCGCCUGAGAAUUCUGCCUUCAACAGGGCUGGAGGCUCCCGUCCCCCUCACCUGGCCAGACCCCCAGGCCAGCUCCUGGGAGGAAGUGUCCUUCUCAGCUCUUGACUGCCCCUAAUUACUCAGCGAGGUUGGACCAGACCUCCCAAUACAUCGAUUAGAACAGGGUGGUGGACAGGCCGGUGGGUGGACGGCUUUUGUCUCCCAGAGGCGAGUUCCCUCCCACCCAGCUGGCCCAGAUCCGCGUGUCUCAGCCUGUGGUUUCGGUGUCCAAGCCUCGAGUGCAGAGAUGCCCGUGGGACGCCAAGAGGGAAGAUGUUCGAACGCUUGACAGUUCUAACGGUGGUGCCCUUCCAGCCAGGAUCCCCCGGCACCCCAUUCUGUUCUAUUCUUUUAUUUGGCCAUGUCAGGUGGCUUGUGGGAUCUCAGUUUACUGAUGAGGUACUGAACCUGGGCCACUGCAGUGAAAGCCCAGAAUCGUAACCACUGGGCCACCAGGGAGCUACCCACCCCCACUGGACACACACACUUUCAUUUUGCAUUUCUACCUGGUUCCCUCAAACUUUACUACGCCUUAACUUUAAUAAAUAUUUAUUGAGAGCAAGCUCA
RNAcentral lists this long non-coding RNA (1512 nucleotides) under Bos mutus (wild yak). RNAcentral's name for it is "lncRNA (ENSBMUG00000022439.1)". Lineage: Eukaryota; Metazoa; Chordata; Mammalia; Artiodactyla; Bovidae. The record is from RNAcentral.